Molecule: small RNA, 28 nt
Filed under: Bombyx mori (domestic silkworm)
Lineage: Eukaryota; Metazoa; Arthropoda; Insecta; Lepidoptera; Bombycidae
Description: ovarian small RNA-5294
Source: RNAcentral
GCAUCGCCUGUCAGGACUCAUCGCUGCC